GCUGGGCUUGGUGAUGCAUGCCUGAAAUUCCAGCUACUCAGGAGGCUGAGGCAGGAGGAUUGCAAGUUCAAGGCCAGCCUGGACAACUUGUAAGACACUAUAUCAA
This 106-nucleotide small RNA is filed under the name Marmota monax (woodchuck). Lineage: Eukaryota; Metazoa; Chordata; Mammalia; Rodentia; Sciuridae. The record is from RNAcentral.